AACGAACGCUGGCGGCAGGCCUAACACAUGCAAGUCGAGCGAGGACUUCGGUUCUAGCGGCGGACGGGUGAGUAACGCGUGGGAAUGUGCCCUUCUCUACGGAAUAGCCCUGGGAAACUGGGAGUAAUACCGUAUACGCCCUAUUGGGGAAAGAUUUAUCGGAGAAGGAUCAGCCCGCGUUGGAUUAGGUAGUUGGUGGGGUAAUGGCCGACCAAGCCGACGAUCCAUAGCUGGUUUGAGAGGAUGAUCAGCCACACUGGGACUGAGACACGGCCCAGACUCCUACGGGAGGCAGCAGUGGGGAAUCUUAGACAAUGGGGGCAACCCUGAUCGAGCCAUGCCGCGUGAGUGAUGAAGGCCUUAGGGUUGUAAAGCUCUUUCAGCUGGGAAGAUAAUGACGGUACCAGCAGAAGAAGCCCCGGCUAACUCCGUG
RNAcentral lists this ribosomal RNA (433 nucleotides) under uncultured bacterium. RNAcentral's name for it is "partial 16S ribosomal RNA". It matches the Rfam family "Bacterial small subunit ribosomal RNA", at positions 29 to 507 of the family's 1533-position model. The record is from RNAcentral.